Molecule: unclassified non-coding RNA, 379 nt
Filed under: fungal sp.
Lineage: Eukaryota; Fungi
Description: partial internal transcribed spacer region
Rfam family: Eukaryotic small subunit ribosomal RNA (bases 1-46)
Source: RNAcentral
AAGUCGUAACAAGGUUUCCGUAGGUGAACCUGCGGAAGGAUCAUUAACACGUAUCCAAACGUUAAAACCCCCCCCCGUGAACCUUCAUCCUGCUCUUGUAACCCGCGUAGUUCGCAAUCUCUGAUAAAUCAUAGCCCGGAAAGUUGUAGUGAUUCAGAGACCUCUGGCUACGUGCGAACAUUGGAACAGUUACAAUCGAGCGGUAGUUCUAUAGGCAAUGUUUCCCCAAGCAGUCAGUGUCGGAGUGUCAUUGAUUGUGCAAGGAUAGCGCUUCUACGAUUCCUGUAGACCGUACACUCGGGCAGGAGCUUUGAAGCUCAAUGUAAUACAUUGGGUAAAAAAACCGAACAAACUGUUAACAAUGCAUAUCUUGGUUCUC